ACAUUGCCUCUCGAAUAAUAUUAGAGGUACAUCCUGCCCAGUGACACACGUGUUAAACGGCCGCGGUAACCUGACCGUGCUAAGGUAGCAUAAUCAUUUGCCUCUUAAUUGGUGGCUAGUAUGAAUGGACAAAUGAGAGCUAAGCUGUCUCUUUCUUACAUAUUUAAACUAACCUUCAGGCGAAAAGGCCUGAAUCACUUUAUAGGACAAGAAGACCCUGUCAAGCUUCACUAAAAAAUCUAUUCACAAAGAUUCCAAUUACCCCACUAGAUUAUUUUUAGUUUGGUUGGGGCGACCGGGGACCAAAAUCAGCGUCCCCCCAAUAACAAGGGAAAUUCCCCUACAACCUGAUCCUUAACAAGACCAAGAGAAAAGCUACUGCAGGGAUAACAGGCUAAUUUUCCCUAAGAGCCCAAAUCGAAGGGAAAGUUUGGCACCUCGAUGUUGGCUUAAGACACCCGUAAAGUGCAGCAGCUUUAUAAGGUAGGUUUGUUCAACCUGUUAAAGUCUUACGUGAUCUGA
RNAcentral lists this ribosomal RNA (522 nucleotides) under Phylo foetida. RNAcentral's name for it is "partial 16S ribosomal RNA". It matches the Rfam family "Bacterial large subunit ribosomal RNA", at positions 1813 to 2608 of the family's 2925-position model. Lineage: Eukaryota; Metazoa; Annelida; Polychaeta; Orbiniidae. The record is from RNAcentral.